AACGGCCGCCAUUGUGCUGGAAUUCGCCCUUGAGUUUGAUCCUGGCUCAGAUUGAACGCUGGCGGCAGGCCUAACACAUGCAAGUCGAGCGGAAACGAGUUAACUGACCCUUCGGGUGACGUUAACGGCGUCGAGCGGCGGACGGGUGAGUAAUGCCUGGGAAAUUGCCCUGAUGUGGGGGAUAACCAUUGGAAACGAUGGCUAAUACCGCAUAAUAGCUUCGGCUCAAAGAGGGGGACCUUCGGGCCUCUCGCGUCAGGAUAUGCCCAGGUGGGAUUAGCUAGUUGGUAAGGUAAUGGCUUACCAAGGCGACGAUCCCUAGCUGGUCUGAGAGGAUGAUCAGCCACACUGGAACUGAGACACGGUCCAGACUCCUACGGGAGGCAGCAGUGGGGAAUAUUGCACAAUGGGCGCAAGCCUGAUGCAGCCAUGCCGCGUGUGUGAAGAAGGCCUUCGGGUUGUAAAGCACUUUCAGUCGUGAGGAAGGUAGUGUAGUUAAUAGCUGCAUUGCUUGACGUUAGCGACAGAAGAAGCACCGGCUAACUCCGUGCCAGCAGCCGCGGUAAUACGGAGGGUGCGAGCGUUAAUCGGAAUUACUGGGCGUAAAGCGCAUGCAGGUGGUUCGUUAAGUCAGAUGUGAAAGGGCGGGGCUCAACCUCGGAACAGCAUUUGAAACUGGCGGACUAGAGUACUGUAGAGGGGGGUAGAAUUUCAGGUGUAGCGGUGAAAUGCGUACAGAUCUGAAGGAAUACCGGUGGCGAAGGCGGCCCCCUGGACAGAUACUGACACUCAAAUGCGAAAGCGUGGGGAGCAAACAGGAUUAAAUACCCUGGUUAGUCCACGCCGUAAACGAUGUCUACUUGGA
This 865-nucleotide ribosomal RNA is filed under the name Vibrio pelagius. RNAcentral's name for it is "bacterial SSU rRNA". It matches the Rfam family "Bacterial small subunit ribosomal RNA", at positions 1 to 821 of the family's 1533-position model. The record is from RNAcentral. Lineage: Bacteria; Pseudomonadati; Pseudomonadota; Gammaproteobacteria; Vibrionales; Vibrionaceae.